Molecule: ribosomal RNA, 274 nt
Filed under: uncultured bacterium
Lineage: Bacteria
Description: partial 16S ribosomal RNA
Rfam family: Bacterial small subunit ribosomal RNA
Source: RNAcentral
AUACGGAGGGUGCAAGCGCUAUCCGGAUUUAUUGGGUUUAAAGGGUGCGUAGGCGGAAAUAUAAGUCAGUGGUGAAAUCUUGCAGCUUAACUGUAAAACUGCCAUUGAUACUGUGUUUCUUGAGUAUAGUUGAGGUAGGCGGAAUGUGUAAUGUAGCGGUGAAAUGCUUAGAUAUUACACAGAACACCGAUUGCGUAGGCAGCUUACUAAACUAUAACUGACGCUGAGGCACGAAAGCGUGGGGAGCGAACAGGAUUAGAAACCCCGGUAGUCC